Molecule: ribosomal RNA, 154 nt
Filed under: uncultured fungus
Lineage: Eukaryota; Fungi
Description: partial 5.8S ribosomal RNA
Rfam family: 5.8S ribosomal RNA
About the family: 5.8S ribosomal RNA (5.8S rRNA) is a component of the large subunit of the eukaryotic ribosome.
Source: RNAcentral
CACUUUCAGCAACGGAUCUCUUGGCUCUCGCAUCGAUGAAGAACGCAGCGAAAUGCGAUAAGUAAUGUGAAUUGCAGAAUUCAGUGAAUCAUCGAAUCUUUGAACGCACCUUGCGCUCCUUGGUAUUCCGAGGAGCAUGCCUGUUUGAGUGUCA